AGCCACCCUUUUCCCCUCCUCUCUUCCCCUCAGCGCCGAAUCGUUCUUCCUUCCACUCUCGCCGCCGCCGCAGCCGCUGCUGUUCCCGUGGUUGCCACAAGUUGCUAUCGCGCGCCCUGCCAUCGCUAUCCAUCGCUAUUGUUGCUGGUUUUCCUGCUGUCGCGGCUGUGUCGCCAUUGCUGGAGCUGCCACUGCCGUUGCCACUCACCGCCGCCGCUGCUGUUCCCGUGGCUGUCGCCUCAUUAAAACUUGUUGGAAACAUGAAUUGAAAGCCUUUGAUUGCAAUUCUUUUUUGAUCUUUUUUGAAACAUGGUUAGUUGAUUUUGCUGCUUUUGGUUUCAGCUAUUUUGUUAUUAUCAUCAUUUGAUUGCAAUUCUUCUUAUUUCUGGUAUUUAUUUCUAUUNN
RNAcentral lists this long non-coding RNA (405 nucleotides) under Manihot esculenta (cassava). RNAcentral describes it as "long non-coding RNA (MESC_LNC005739)". Lineage: Eukaryota; Viridiplantae; Streptophyta; Magnoliopsida; Malpighiales; Euphorbiaceae. The record is from RNAcentral.